This 997-nucleotide long non-coding RNA is filed under the name Homo sapiens (human). RNAcentral describes it as "non-protein coding lnc-UBAC1-2:3". The record is from RNAcentral. Lineage: Eukaryota; Metazoa; Chordata; Mammalia; Primates; Hominidae.
CACGUCUGUGCGUCUGUGUGUGCGCGUCUGUGCAUGUGUGUGUCUGUGCGUGUGUGCGUCUGUGUGUGUGCGUCUGUGUGCGCGUGUGUGUGCGCGUCUGUGUGUAUGUGUGCACGCGCGUCUGUGUGCACGUGCGUGUCUCUGCACGCGUGUCUGUGUAUGUGUGCACGCGUGUGUCUGUGUGUGUGCACGCGCGUGCACGUCACCACCGGAGCAUUUAGGGUUUGGUACAAGAUGGUUCUAAAAUGGCAAAGGUUUUUCGUGUUUGUUUGUUUUGUUUCUUUGGAAAAAGAAAAGGAAAGGAAAAUCAUGCAGAAUCGCAAGCAUUCAGACUGGACGACCGGCUCGUAUUCCGAUCAGUCGCUUCCAUUGUUAGCAUCGUACACGAUUGUGAUUUUUAUGUCAAAAGAAGCCAAAACUUGCAAUACUAUUUUUAGCAGACAAAAAAAAGAACUAAGUAUAAAAUGUAUAAAUAUUUUUGACUUGAAGAUUUGGAUGGCACUGGGUGCAAGUAGAGCAUCCAUCCUUCGGAUGGAAUGUUUGGAAAAAAGAGACUUUUAAAAAGGAGACGGUUGUUUUAAAGAGUCUGUUUAGGGGUUAAAGUACUGUAACUCACGACUGUUAAAAAAUAAAUUUUCCUGUGCUGUAAAGGAAGGUUUCACAGUACCACUGAGUUAGAUUUCAGCCACAGAUGCUUAGCUUUUUUUUUUUGUCUUUUUUUUAAGGAGGAAGCCUUUGUUUUGUUUUCCUGAGCCCUCACUCUGUUUUUGUGCUGUUACUCGGUAGAGUCAAGACUGUUACUUUUUAGCCAUGGCUGACAUUGUAUCAAUAACUAAAACUGAAACAUUCAAAAGCGAACAGGGAAACCGAGGGCUUCAAGCGUGCUCAGAGCCGUUUCAGACAGUGGAAAUCCAUGACAAACAAAAGGAUGUGAUCAUUAAUUGUAAAGCGCUUUGUAAAAUUCACAUUUACAAAAUAAUAAAGUCAGUUCAAACCU